Molecule: ribosomal RNA, 1663 nt
Filed under: metagenome
Description: bacterial LSU rRNA
Rfam family: Bacterial large subunit ribosomal RNA
Source: RNAcentral
UAGCAUUGCUGAAGCGACGAAGCAGUACCGGAAGGAGCUGUGGAGUUUCAGGAAGAGAGAAUGCCGGAAUGAGUAGCGAGAGAAAGGUGAGAAUCCUUUCGGCCGAAUAUCCAAGGUUUCCAGGGUAAAGCUGAUCUGCCCUGGGUAAGUCGGGGCCUAAGGCGAGGCAGAAAAGCGUAGUCGAUGGACAGCAGGUUGAGAUUCCUGCACCCGUAAUGAACAGAACUGUAGUGACACGGAAGGUAAGACAGAGCCGGGAAUGAGAAAACCGGUGCAAGCACAAUAGAUGUGUGGGAGGAAAAUCCCCCGCAUAAGUCGAAGGUGUGACGCGGACCGAAAAAGAGUAGGGAAGCUGUUAAGCAAGCCGUCAAGAAAAGCUGCUAUUGUUUCAUUAUGGCCCGUACCGUAAACCGACACAGGUGGAUGGGGAGAGAAUCCUAAGGCCGGCGGAAGAAGUAUUGUUAAGGAACUCGGCAAAAUGACCCCGUAACUUCGGGAGAAGGGGUGCCUGCGAGAGCAGGCCGCAGAGAAGAGGCCCAAGCAACUGUUUAGCAAAAACACAGGUCUAUGCAAAACCGAAAGGUGAGGUAUAUGGGCUGACGCCUGCCCGGUGCUGGAAGGUUAAGGGGAGUGGUCAGGAAACGAAGCCACGAACUUAAGCCCCAGUAAACGGCGGCCGUAACGAUAACGGUCCUAAGGUAGCGAAAUUCCUUGUCGGGUAAGUUCCGACCCGCACGAAAGGCGUAAUGAUUUGGGCGCUGUCUCGACAAUACAUCCGGUGAAAUUGAAGUGCCAGUGAAGAUGCUGGCUACCUGCGCCAGGACGGAAAGACCCCAUGGAGCUUUACUCCAGCUUGAUACUGGGACCCGGUAUUGCAUGUACAGGAUAGGUGGGAGGCUAGGAAAUGUGGACGCCAGUCUGCAUGGAGCCGCUGUUGGGAUACCACCCUUGUGGUGCUGGGUUUCUAACCAGAGGCCGUGAACCGGUCUGGGGACAAUGUCAGGUGGGGAGUUUGACUGGGGCGGUCGCCUCCGAAAGGGUAUCGGAGGCGCCCAAAGGUUCCCUCAGAAUGGUUGGAAACCAUUCGAAGAGUGCAAAGGCAGAAGGGAGCUUGACUGCGACACCGACGGGUGGAGCAGGUACGAAAGUAGGGCUUAGUGAUCCGGUGGAAUUUAAGUGGGAAUGCCAUCGCUCAACGGAUAAAAGCUACCCUGGGAUAACAGGCUGAUCACUCCCAAGAGUUCACAUCGACGGAGUGGUUUGGCACCUCGAUGUCGGCUCAUCGCAUCCUGGGGCUGAAGUCGGUCCCAAGGAUUGGGCUGUUCGCCCAUUAAAGCGGUACGCGAGCUGGGUUCAGAACGUCGUGAGACAGUUCGGUCCCUAUCCGGCGUGGGCGUAGGAUAUCUGAGAGGAGCUGUCCUUAGUACGAGAGGACCGGGAUGGACUGACCUCUGGUGUACCGGUUGGCGGUCAACGCCACGGCCGGGUAGCCAUGUCGGGACGGGAUAAACGCUGAAGGCAUCUAAGCGUGAAGCCCCCCUCAAGAUGAGAUAUCCCAUCGUAAGAGUAAGACCCCUUGAAGACGACGAGGUUGAUAGGGCAGGGGUGGAAGUGCUGUAAGGCAUGGAGCUGACUGCUACUAAUCGGUCGAGGGCUUGACCAA